Long non-coding RNA from Argiope bruennichi, 637 nucleotides. RefSeq lists it as uncharacterized. The record is from RefSeq and is a predicted model, not a curated record. The transcript has 3 exons. Lineage: Eukaryota; Metazoa; Arthropoda; Arachnida; Araneae; Araneidae.
ACCAAGAAGCAUCCACCUUUCUCUGAGGAAAGAAGAACUUACUGGGUUCUAUAAAUCCAGGAAAUUUUGAUAAUUAGGUGGUGAAGUGCAAAUCACACUUAUUAAGGCUGCAAUAUGAUUGAUAGUUUUAAUAUAGAACAUAAUGGCAAUAAGCUUAAUUUCUUUAAUGAAGGAUGAUCUGAGGAAAAGACCUGUGAAAACCACACUGGAUUCUGUCGGAGGAGGAUGAAUCGUUGCCUUUUACCUGUGAAAUCAGAUAUGAAAAAAGCCUUCAAAGCUACGCAGAAGACGUCGGAAGAUACCAGAAAAUAACAGAUGUAGUGUUUGGGAAAAUUGUCUGCAAAAAAUGAAAUAUAAGAGAGGUAACGCUUAUUUACAAUAAUUAAACCUUUAUUUUUAAUAACCAAUGAGUAACCCAAAUGAACUACAUUCAUAAAGAAAAAAGUGGGUAUUCUUAAAUUAUGCAACACUUUUCUUCCGUGACCCCUCUCCCAUUUCCUUCCAACUAUGAAAGAACUGCUUCCUAACACAAUGAUGUUGCUUCUUAACAAACGCCCGUUUUCAAUUCUGGGGCAACAAACUUUUUCGGAUAAAAUGAAAGAUUUGUACUGAGCACUUGGAAAGAACUGCAAUAAAG